This 402-nucleotide RNase P RNA is filed under the name Corynebacterium mycetoides. RNAcentral describes it as "Bacterial RNase P class A". It matches the Rfam family "Bacterial RNase P class A". Rfam says of the family: Ribonuclease P (RNase P) is a ubiquitous endoribonuclease, found in archaea, bacteria and eukarya as well as chloroplasts and mitochondria. Its best characterised activity is the generation of mature 5'-ends of tRNAs by cleaving the 5'-leader elements of precursor-tRNAs. The record is from Rfam by way of RNAcentral. Lineage: Bacteria; Bacillati; Actinomycetota; Actinomycetes; Mycobacteriales; Corynebacteriaceae.
UGAGUCGGCCGGGCAAUCGCGGCUCCCCGAACCGCCGCGCAUGCGGACAGGCGGGGGUCGAGGAAAGUCCGGACUCCACAGGGCACGGUGGUUGCCAACAGCAACCCGGAGCGAUCCGCGGGAAAGUGCAACAGAGAGUAGACCGCCCGCGCCAUGCGGGUAAGGGUGAAAGGGUGCGGUAAGAGCGCACCGGCAUGCGUGGCGACACGUGUGGCCAGGUAAACCCCACCGGGAGCAAGGCAAGAGCCCCCGCUUUCGAGCGGAGGUCGUCGGACGCGAUGGAGGCUGCCCGCCCAGUCCGAAGGUAGCUGCUCGAGGCCCCCAGCAAUGGGAGGUCCAGAUGGAUGAUUGCCACCUGGCGCGUGCCGGGGACAGAAUCCGGCUUACAGGCCGGCUCAUUCG